AACGAACGCUGGUGGCGUGCUUAACACAUGCAAGUCGAACGAGAACAUUUCCUUCGGGAAAUUAGUAAAGUGGCGCAAGGGUGAGUAACACGUGAAUAAUCUGCCCUCGAGAUCGGGAUAACAUGGUGAAAACUAUGCUAAUACCGGAUAAGACCACAUUUCGCAGGAAAUGCGGUAAAAGGAGUCUCAAUCUGCACUCGGGGAUGAGUUCGCGCAACAUUAGCUUGUUGGUGAGAUAAAAGCUCACCAAGGCUACGAUGUUUAGCCGGCCUGAGAGGGUGAACGGCCACACUGGAACUGAGACACGGUCCAGACUCCUACGGGAGGCAGCAGUGGGGAAUAUUGCGCAAUGGGCGAAAGCCUGACGCAGCAACGCCGUGUGAGCGAUG
RNAcentral lists this ribosomal RNA (389 nucleotides) under uncultured Nitrospina sp. RNAcentral describes it as "bacterial SSU rRNA". It matches the Rfam family "Bacterial small subunit ribosomal RNA", at positions 29 to 410 of the family's 1533-position model. Lineage: Bacteria; Pseudomonadati; Nitrospinota; Nitrospinia; Nitrospinales; Nitrospinaceae. The record is from RNAcentral.